ACGUAGUUUGAUCAGUGGCUCGAGGACGACGCUGGCGGCGCGCCUAACACAUGCAAGUCGAACGAAGAAUAGCUUCGGUUAUUCUUAGCGGCGGACGGGUGAGUAACGCGUGAGCAACCUUUCUCUCAGCGGGGAAUAACACAGGGAAACUUGUACUAAUACCGCAUAAGACCACAGAUGGGCAUCCAUCAGGGGUCAAAGAUUUAUCACUGAGAGGUGGGCUCGCGUCUGAUUAGAUAGUUGGUGGGGUAACGGCCUACCAAGUCGACGAUCAGUAGCCGACCUGAGAGGGUGAUCGGCCACAUUGGGACUGAGACACGGCCCAAACUCCUACGGGAGGCAGCAGUGGGGAAUAUUGGGCAAUGGGGGAAACCCUGACCCAGCAACGCCGCGUGGAGGAAGAAGGUUUUCGGAUCGUAAACUCCUGUCCUCAGGGAAGAGUGGAAGACGGUACCUGAGGAGGAAGCCCCGGCUAACUACGUG
RNAcentral lists this ribosomal RNA (483 nucleotides) under uncultured bacterium. RNAcentral describes it as "bacterial SSU rRNA". It matches the Rfam family "Bacterial small subunit ribosomal RNA", at positions 1 to 507 of the family's 1533-position model. The record is from RNAcentral.